GAGCUGUCCGGUAAUAGAAAGAAGCUGCAGAACCCUGUUGUCUUCAUCUUUUGUUUAACUCAUGCAACAUUUGAAAGCACAUUUGCCUACAAGAAAUAAAACUUACUUGUGAAAUGGCUUAUAAAUGAACUCAGAUGACAAGAAACCAAAACAGCAGGCCUGGCUGAAGCAUUCAUCCCUAGCCCUGAAAGCCAGCUGGGUCUUUCUGUAACAUCAAAGGCACAAACAAUUGAACCGACAUGGGAACUUAUUCUGUCCAGCAGCCCUGGUGCCCACAGACCAUCCGAAGCAAGGGUAACCUACCAGAAAGCUACUAGAUGUUCCCCGCUACAGUGAAGGAUUAAACAAAGAAUGAAGAAGAAGUAGGACUCGAGAAGUAAAUGAACCAACUCAAGAAAGAGAUGACCAAGUGGAAUACCUUUUAAAGGCUUCCAGACUUUUCUUUCCCACUCCUCCCUGUCCACUCGAGGGAGGCUCCAUUUUAAAAUGUAACAGAAAACAACGGAUUUGAAAUAAGGCAUUAGCCUGAGGUAACUCACCCCCACCUUGGCUCCAGAGCAGCUUGGAUUUCCGAUUCUUUGAGCAGGUCCGUGAUUUGGGGAACCAGUUAAAGAGCCGGGCUAUUCUUCUGAAGGUCUCGUGAAAGUCACUUCUUAUGGCCAUAGCGAGAACCAGGAGUGUUCCAGAAUGACUCGAUACAGAG
RNAcentral lists this non-coding RNA (703 nucleotides) under Pongo abelii (Sumatran orangutan). Lineage: Eukaryota; Metazoa; Chordata; Mammalia; Primates; Hominidae. The record is from RNAcentral.